This 498-nucleotide ribosomal RNA is filed under the name uncultured bacterium. Its description in RNAcentral is "partial 16S ribosomal RNA". It matches the Rfam family "Bacterial small subunit ribosomal RNA", at positions 28 to 507 of the family's 1533-position model. The record is from RNAcentral.
GACGAACGCUGGCGGCGUGCCUAAUACAUGCAAGUCGAACGAGAGCGACCGGUGCUUGCACUGGUCAAUCUAGUGGCGAACGGGUGAGUAACACGUGGGUAACCUGCCCAUCAGAGGGGGAUAACAUCCGGAAACGGAUGCUAAAACCGCAUAGGUCUUCGAACCGCAUGGUUUGAAGAGGAAAAGAGGCGCAAGCUUCUGCUGAUGGAUGGAUCCGCGGUGCAUUAGCUAGUUGGUGAGGUAACGGCUCACCAAGGCCGUGAUGCAUAGCCGACCUGAGAGGGUGAUCGGCCACAUUGGGACUGAGACACGGCCCAAACUCCUACGGGAGGCAGCAGUAGGGAAUCUUCCGCAAUGGACGCAAGUCUGACGGAGCAACGCCGCGUGAGUGAAGAAGGUUUUCGGAUCGUAAAACCCUGUUGUUAGAGAAGAACAAGUGCUAGAGUAACUGUUAGCGCCUUGACGGUAUCUAACCAGAAAGCCACGGCUAACUACGUG